Molecule: long non-coding RNA, 636 nt
Filed under: Panax ginseng (ginseng)
Lineage: Eukaryota; Viridiplantae; Streptophyta; Magnoliopsida; Apiales; Araliaceae
Description: long non-coding RNA (PGIN_LNC015786)
Source: RNAcentral
UAUUAAAAAUAAUAAUUUAGACAUCUUUUAAACAAAUUAAACAAUUUAUUACAUAAUUUUUUUUUACACAAAUCAAACAAUAUAAACAAACUGAAUAAAUUAAACAAAUCCAAAUCUAAUUCAUCAUCUUCUUCACCACAAAUCCAAAUCCAAAAUAAUUCGAAAUCAAAAAUCUGAAACUCAUCAAAAUCAAAGCUACUAAGUUCUAAAUUUCUCUCUAAAUUUGCGGCUCAAAUUCAAACAUAAAAAUGGUGAUGGGUAAAACGAAAAUCAAAUUGUUCUGAUUUACUCCGAUCUAGUUCAGAUCUGACUGUAGGCAACAAGACGUUGAUGAUUUUGCAGGCACGAUGACGAUGAUUUGCUAGUACAACAACAAUAACCAUCAGCUAUACCCAAUUAGUUCAAAGAAAUAAGGAUGAGAGAGAAUAUCCAAUCAGCCAUACCCAAUUAACUAUGAAAAGUAUGAUUUAAGGGAAGAGGAUGAGAGAGAAAGAGAGAGGAAAUAGGUCUCACUUAAAAUUUUCUCUCUCCCUUAUUAUCUAUGUUCCCAUCCGCCAUCUCUUAUGGUGAAGAUGAUGAUGUACAGCACUAUAAGAGAUUAAGAAUUUAAGAUGAUGCUAAUUUGUUAAAUUUGUU